This 424-nucleotide ribosomal RNA is filed under the name uncultured Thalassiosira. Its description in RNAcentral is "bacterial SSU rRNA". It matches the Rfam family "Bacterial small subunit ribosomal RNA", at positions 419 to 859 of the family's 1533-position model. The record is from RNAcentral. Lineage: Eukaryota; Bacillariophyta; Thalassiosirophyceae; Thalassiosirales; Thalassiosiraceae.
UGGGUUGUAAACCUCUUUUUUCAGGGAGGAAUAAAUGACGUGUACCUGAAGAAUAAGCAUCGGCUAACUCCGUGCCAGCAGCCGCGGUAAGACGGAGGAUGCAAGUGUUAUCCGGAAUCACUGGGCGUAAAGCGUCUGUAGGUGGCUUAAUAAGUCAACUGUUAAAUCUUGAGGCUCAACUUCGAAAUAGCAGUCGAACAUAUUAGGCUAGAGUAUAGUAGAGGUAAAGGGAAUUUCCAAUGGAGCGGUGAAAUGCGUAUAUAUAGAAAGAACACCGAUGGCAAAGCACUUUACUGGGCUAUUACUAACACUCAGAGACGAAAGCUAGGGUAGCAAAUGGGAUCAGAUACCCCAGUAGUCCUAGCCCUAAACAAUGGAUACUAGAUGUGAACAGAUCGACCAGUGCAGUAUCAAAGCUAACGCG